AACAAACGCUGGCGGCGUGCCUAAUACAUGCAAGUCGAACGAGGAAGUACCUUCGGGUAUUGUACUAGUGGCGUACGGGUGAGUAACGCGUGGAUAAUCUUCCUCUAGGUGGGGAAUAACCAGUCGAAAGAUUGGGCUAAUACCGCAUAAGACCACAAUGCCCACGGGCAAAGGGGUUAAAGGCGAAAGUCGCCUGGAGAUGAGUCUGCGCCCGAUUAGCUAGUUGGUGAGGUAAAAGCUCACCAAGGCGACGAUCGGUAGCUGGUCUGAGAGGACGGCCAGCCACACUGGGACUGAGACACGGCCCAGACUCCUACGGGAGGCAGCAGUAGGGAAUAUUGCACAAUGGAGGAAACUCUGAUGCA
RNAcentral lists this ribosomal RNA (365 nucleotides) under uncultured bacterium. RNAcentral's name for it is "bacterial SSU rRNA". It matches the Rfam family "Bacterial small subunit ribosomal RNA", at positions 29 to 390 of the family's 1533-position model. The record is from RNAcentral.